ACGCUCGACACCUACGGGGAGACAGCAGGUGGGGAAUAUUGCACAAUGGGGGAAACCCUGAUGCAGCGACGCCGCGUGGAGGAAGAAGGUCUUCGGAUUGUAAACUCCUGUUGUUGGGGAAAAGAGGAUGGUACCCAACAAGGAAGUGACGGCUAACUACGUGCCAGCAGCCACGGUAAUCUGAGCGGGCUGGCAAGGC
Molecule: ribosomal RNA, 199 nt
Filed under: uncultured bacterium
Lineage: Bacteria
Description: partial 16S ribosomal RNA
Rfam family: Bacterial small subunit ribosomal RNA
Source: RNAcentral